GGUGCGUGGCUGGUUUGUUGAUGGUUUUUGUGUUCUAAAGGAGGGAGCGGCGGCUUGAGCAGAUGAGAGGCAAGGGAGGGGGCUGUGUGCUGGUCUGUGAGGGGGAUAACAGUGGAGAGGGGAAGGAAACGGUGGAACCGGCCGGGUCAGCAAAAUGAAGGCCACCGGGGGGGCUGUGUGCAGAGAAGAAAAAAUUCUCUGGUGGGUGGCGGCGGCUGGGUGUGAAAGAGAUAGGUUUAGGGUUUUUCUUCCCCUUUUUUAUUUGUCAAAAUUGCCCCCCCC
Molecule: long non-coding RNA, 282 nt
Filed under: Populus trichocarpa (black cottonwood)
Lineage: Eukaryota; Viridiplantae; Streptophyta; Magnoliopsida; Malpighiales; Salicaceae
Description: long non-coding RNA (PTRI_LNC004470)
Source: RNAcentral